UUCUCUUUUCCCAAAAUUGAUCAAUUUUUCUUUUUAAGAUAUUUUCUUUUUGCAUUGCUUUCAUUUCUUUCCCGAUUUUUCUUCAAACUCUCUUAUUUGAUUUUUGAAUUUCUUUUUGAGUAUUUCUAUAUCUUGAGACAAAUUUCCAUUUUAAAAAAUAAUUUGCUUGUGGUUGCUUGGAUCUCACCAUCUCAUUAUCCCCUCUUUAUUUUGUGCUUUACCCUUUGUCCCAUAUGCAUUUUUGAGGGUUAAAUAUUUCUUCUGCUGUUUGCUCAUUUUCCCAGUCUUUUUUUUUUUGGUCUGUGGGUUGUGAAUUCCAAAAGCUGCUUGCUGAUUCUAUCUCCUCUGUUGUCUUGUAGAGAUUGACACUGUGAGCUAUUUUGCCCUGGGGUUUUCUUCAUCAAAGCAGAGCAUACCUGAAAGGGCUCAGUAUUAUGGACUUCUGAAAAUCACUGUGGAAUGGUGCCUGCAUCUGAGAUUUCAAGAUUGCCAAUCUUCCAUUUAAAAUAUGAUCCCCUGAACUGGACACAACUAUUCAGAUGUGUUUAACAAGAAUAAGAGAAGGAAAAGAAAAGAGGAGAAAAGGCAGAAGAAGAAAAGGCUGAGGAGAACUAAGAAGAGGAAUUGCAGAGGGAAAAGAAGAAAAAAGAACCAAUAUUUAAUGCUUUAAAAUUUGCAGUGUAUUUAUGAACAUUGUAAUAUAGCAAAACAAAGGUCCAAUAAUUUUUUAAAUGUCAAGUUACUUCCUUUUAAAAAGAAAAAGCCUUCAGUGACAUAUAUUUUACCUCAAUUCUUCAGCUUGAUUUUGAAGUUCCUUUAAUGUCUGGCUCUCCCUUUCUUAUUUAAAUGCAUUUCUUACUUUUCACCCUGUGUUUUCUACCAUAAAUCAUAUCAACCUCCCACCAAAUUCCAAUCUUGCCAUUCUAACCCCUGCCUUUAUACCUGUGAUAGUGUUCUUCCCUCCCCUUGAAAGUCUGUUUCAUUCUUUUUUCAGUUAUAUAACUUAAUAAUUUCCCAAGUUCAACUCCUCACUCUGUAUUGUACUAUUUAAGGCAAGUACACUUAUUCACCUCAUUUCAAAAACAUUCAACAAAUAUUUAUUAAAAUCUUGGAGCAUUUUUUAUUUUCCCCAGAAUGUAUUACUCUUCUUAUCCUUGAUGUCUGUUUUCAUGUAUGAUACCCCUUUAAGCUCUCUAGGAACUGAAUUAAUAAUUGACUGAUGAAAUGAUACAUAGGGCACCCCUCUCUUUUCUUUUCUAAAGUAAAAUAAGUAAUAUAAGCAUAAAAAUCAUGUAAGCAAAGAGAGUUUUAGAGACAUCUUUUUGUGCUUCCAUAAUUUUUGAGUUGCAUAUACUCUUCUAGGUAUAAUACACAAUAUUGAUAUUAGUGUAAGAUGGGUAUAGAUUAAGAUAACUCUCCUAACAUGGCAUUUCUUAAGAAAGAAAAAAUAUUUAGUAAGAAGACUAAAAAAUGAUUGGCACUCAAAUUUUAUAUUUUUUGUAUAUUUAAGUAAUCCCUACAUUAAAAAACUUCAUCUACUUAAUAAGGAAAAAGGCAUGUACAAGAAUAUUCAUAGUUGUGCUCUUUGUGGUGGCAAAAAAAAAAUGGAAAAUGAGGGGAUGCCCAUCAGUUGGGGAAUGGCUGAACAAAUUGUGGUAUAUGUUGGUGAUGGAAUACUAUUGUGCUUAAAAGAAUAAUAAAGUGGAGGAAUUCCAUGGAGAUUGGAACAACCUCCAAGAAGUGAUGCAGAGGGAAAGGGAGCAGAACCAGGAAAACAUUGUACACAGAGACUGAGACACUGUGGUACAAUCGAACAUAAUGGACUUCUCCAUUAGUGGUAAUACAAUGUCCCUAAACUAUCUGCAGGGACCAAGGAGAAAAAAACACUACCCUCAAGCAGAGGACAAAUGGUGGGAAUAAAAACACUGAGGAAAGGCAACAGCUUGACUACAGGGGUGGAGGGGAUAUGAUUGAGGAGAGACUCUGAAUGAACACCUUAAUGCAAAUACCAACAACACGGAAAAGAGUUUGGACCGAGGACACAUGUGAUACCUAGAGGAAUCACGCAUCGCCAUUAGGAGGGGUGGUGGGAGGGGGGUAGGAAAAAAUGAUCUUUGUUUCUAAU
Monodelphis domestica (gray short-tailed opossum) is the source of this 2125-nucleotide non-coding RNA. NCBI's taxonomy places the organism in Eukaryota, Metazoa, Chordata, Mammalia, Didelphimorphia, Didelphidae. The record is from RefSeq and is a predicted model, not a curated record.